This 250-nucleotide ribosomal RNA is filed under the name uncultured prokaryote. RNAcentral describes it as "partial 16S ribosomal RNA". It matches the Rfam family "Bacterial small subunit ribosomal RNA", at positions 524 to 773 of the family's 1533-position model. The record is from RNAcentral.
CACGUAGGGGGCGAGCGUUAUCCGGAUUCAUUGGGCGUAAAGGGCGCGUAGGCGGCCCGGUAAGUCUGAAGUGAAAGUCCUGGUUUUAAGCUGGGAAUUGCUUUGGAUACUGUCGGGCUUGAGUGCAGGAGAGGUAAGUGGAAUUCCCAGUGUAGCGGUGAAAUGCGUAGAGAUUGGGAGGAACACCAGUGGCGAAGGCGACUUACUGGACUGUGACUGACGCUGAGGCGCGAAAGUGUGGGGAGCAAAC